This 336-nucleotide long non-coding RNA is filed under the name Marmota monax (woodchuck). The record is from RNAcentral. Lineage: Eukaryota; Metazoa; Chordata; Mammalia; Rodentia; Sciuridae.
CUCAGUUCAAUUCUUUGCUAACAGGAACAAUUUGUAUUUUAUGGAUUCACUUCAUUUUGACCUACAUGGGUAAAUGGACAUGGAGCUGGAAAUCAAACAAGGUUGGUGCUAACUGCUUGAAACUUCACACACUCAAUCAGUUCUCUGUGGGCACUCUCUGGUUUGUUCCUUGUGAAAUUAAUAAUAAGCUGAAGCAUGCAAUACAAAUUUAUCUGAGAACACUUUAGGAGAAAACAGGGAAAUAUGCAUGUACUGAAAUAGCUUCCCCAAUUAUUUUGUCAGAUUUCUUUGAAACUGCCCAUGAUUCAUCUGUAAGCUUGCCCCACUAGACUUCCC